Molecule: non-coding RNA, 374 nt
Organism: Sinocyclocheilus anshuiensis
Lineage: Eukaryota; Metazoa; Chordata; Actinopteri; Cypriniformes; Cyprinidae
Source: the annotation of a RefSeq genome assembly
CUGCUCCUGCAAUCUGUCCUGAAAACUACACCAUGUUCUCUGCAGUUUUAGUCUUGCUUCUGGCAAGUGUAAAUUGUAUUGAUUCAAAUGAACUCACUCAGUCUGAGUCUCUGACUGUUCGUCCUGAUGCCACUCUCACUAUCAACUGUAAAGUCUCCUAUUCAGUUACAAGUGAGGAUACAGGCUGGAUUCAUCAGCCUGCAGGAAAAGCUCUGGAGUGGAUUGGAUUGAUUGACUCUGCUGGAAACUUAGCCUACAAGGAUUCCCUGAAAAACAAGUUCAGUAUCACCAGAGACACUUCCAGUAACACAAUAACACUGCAAGGAAAGAAUAUGCAAGCUGAAGACACAGCUGUGUAUUAUUGUGCCAGAUAA